AUUCAGAUGACGAGUCCCAAAAAGGACGAAACGCGCGUCCUGAAU
This 45-nucleotide non-coding RNA is filed under the name Schistosoma curassoni. The record is from RNAcentral. Lineage: Eukaryota; Metazoa; Platyhelminthes; Trematoda; Strigeidida; Schistosomatidae.